GGGGAAUAUUGCACAAUGGGCGCAAGCCUGAUGCAGCGACGCCGCGUGGGGGAUGACGGCCUUCGGGUUGUAAACCUCUUUCAGUCACGACGAAGCGCAAGUGACGGUAGUGACAGAAGAAGCACCGGCCAACUACGUGCCAGCAGCCGCGGUAAUACGUAGGGUGCGAGCGUUGUCCGGAAUUACUGGGCGUAAAGAGCUCGUAGGUGGUUUGUCGCGUUGUCCGUGAAAACUCACAACUCAAUUGUGGGCGUGCGGGCGAUACGGGCAGACUAGAGUACUGCAGGGGAGACUGGAAUUCCUGGUGUAGCGGUGGAAUGCGCAGAUAUCAGGAGGAACACCGGUGGCGAAGGCGGGUCUCUGGGCAGUAACUGACGCUGAGGAGCGAAAGCGUGGGGAGCGAAC
RNAcentral lists this ribosomal RNA (405 nucleotides) under uncultured bacterium. RNAcentral's name for it is "bacterial SSU rRNA". It matches the Rfam family "Bacterial small subunit ribosomal RNA", at positions 356 to 773 of the family's 1533-position model. The record is from RNAcentral.